UCUCUAAUCCUUGCUAUCUGGGUGCUAGUGCUAUCUCAAUGCAAUGCACCUAGGCAAGGAUUCAGAGAGGG
This 71-nucleotide microRNA precursor is filed under the name Panthera tigris altaica (Amur tiger). RNAcentral describes it as "microRNA 502 (ENSPTIG00000001996.1)". It matches the Rfam family "mir-500 microRNA precursor family", at positions 9 to 79 of the family's 84-position model. Lineage: Eukaryota; Metazoa; Chordata; Mammalia; Carnivora; Felidae. The record is from RNAcentral.